CCCUCAGCAUGUGCCAUUUCUUACUACUUAGUAUAUAUGAUCUGGUUUGGUGAGAUAUCAUUUCAUAAAAGUAAAUUCAGGUCAAUGCUGCAGUUACCUGUAAAAAAACUUGAGAUAUAUAAGUCAUGUUCACACUUUCCAGAGAGUGAGCUGCCUAACAUUCUAAUAUAUCAAUAUCCACAAACAUAUAUAGUGGGAGUGAUCGAAGUGUAAGAUUUAUACAUAGAGAUUUGCUUCCGACCAGCAAAAAUUACCUCAAGGUACCGGUACCUCACGGUACCAAUUCGUUUCUGAUCAUUGAAUCUAACUGCGCAGAAUGGGCAUUGUUAGAUCCAACGAUGGGAAACGAUUUGCUACCGGUAACACGAGAUACUUUUUAUUGGACCGGAGAAAAUCUCUAUAUAUAGUGUAAAAUUGCUCUAAAAGAUUAAUUUGACCAUCCAACAUUUGGUUCCUUGAGGUACCACAAAUAUUCGUUAUCUCGAGGUACUUUAUAGUGUAAAAUUUGGCACCUCUAGUGCAAAAUGUGGUACCUCAAGGUGCUUAGUAUCUCAAGGUAUCAGAACUUUGUGUGCAAAAUGUGGUACCUCAAGUUACCAAAUAUUGGAUGGUAAAAUUACUCUAGAACUUAACAGUACUUGUCAUUUUCGAUGAGUUGAACUUUGCAAUUGCGAAAAACCUCGGCAACUGGCUCACUCUAUAUAUAGUUAGCUUGGUCCAAAGGCCCUAAGCUUGUACAUUCAUUCAUUUCUCCUGGUUAUGUACUGUUUACUCAUUCUCUAUUCUAUGAAAUUGGCGGCUUCCCGAUUCAUUCAAAAGAAAAGAACUUUGCAAUCACGAUAGACUACCACUGCCACACAACCUCCGGAGAGCAGCACGACCACGACGAGGAUGCAUCGGCAUGUCAAGCUCCUGUCGUAGUAAAGGUUUGGGGCUGUGGCUUGGUGGACAGCCUCCUGGGUCUCCAUGUGCAUUGUGUUGCUCUUUGGCCAGAUGAAGAGAAUUUCAGUGGCCAUGUGUGGAGGAUCUUGGUGAUUCUGGCUGAUGAAUUUAUCAUGAGAUACAGGAGUUCCUGAUGCCUCCUAGGCCAAUAGCCAUAGCAACUAGUUCAAUGGAUGGAUUGGCCUCUUCUCCAUGAAACACUGUCCAUCAAGAAACUUUGCUACCGAAACUUGCACAACCAUAUAUCAUAUAUAUCCACUGAAAUUCUUGAGGAAUGGUCAUUAAUUAAGGAAUUUCCUAGAGGUGAUAUUGUAACAUCAAAGCUUCCAUAGUCACUUUUGGUACUUCUGAUGAUCCUUUUAUGGAGCAAAGAAGAUUGCACAGUGACUCCACCUACACCUUCCUUUUACAUGCAUGUGAACAAAAGUCCCAUGGCUAUCGAUUUCAAGAGUGUAGCUUCACUGCGCAAAAUAUUCUACUCCUCCUAUGAAAGCAUCAAGGACCAAGAAUGGAGUCAACUGGAAGACAUGAAGACAACCUGCAUGGGGUUAGACAAUUUUUGGUUAUCAAAAACUAUAUCAUUGCGGCAAUGCCAAAUGGACCAACACAAGGUGCUAGUUACAAACAAAAUCAAUUUUUUUAAUGGAUCUAGGCUCCCCUUAGCCAAUUACCAAAAAUAUUAGCUAGGUCCCGUGCCCUCCCACUUAUAUAUUAGCUAGGUCCCUUGCCCUUCCACAACCAAUGUAGGACUAUUCAACACGCUGCUCCAUACAGAAGGAGAUCAGUUGCCAAAAGUGAGAUUAGAGAGAAAACCUUAUGUAUCCCGCUUCUUGUUUUGAGAGAGAUCAUGAACACCGUGAAGUUCUUGCAAGUUGUAGCGGCAAUAAUGUUUCUGAGACGAGUUGCUUUUCGAUGAACAUGGGGCAGUGGCCACUCCAAUUAACCAGCCAUGGUGCUGGGUUGCUCUGGCUGUUGGACUGGGAGGCAUCAAGAGUUGUCAUGUCAUGAAGUGAAUGUGUGGCAUCACUAGGAUCAUCGCGGCAUGCAUGGCUAUUAGUUUCUAUGUUGUAAACCUGUGCUGCCCUUCAGAGUUUCAGUUUCCUGGAGCGCGUCUGGUUCUCAUUUUUCAGAGUUUUUCAUUCGAGUAUGUUUUACUAGAUGGGCCAGUUUUCACCUCGUCUUUUCAUUGUGCAUCUGUGUGAGUUCGUGAUUUCCCUGAGAGUUUCGUUCCAGGGCGCCGUGUGAUCAGGGAUCACCGGCGGCAAUGGUGACCGCAUCAUACAACGUACGACGCCAUAGUCGCAGUCUACAAACUGAUUGGACAUAUCUCCAAGUCUGUGGUGUGGAUUGGUUCAUGUGCUGCAUUGAUUCAUGUGCACCCCUUCUUCUUUUUCCUGCAUUUGAUAAAAAAUCAGACUGCUUCAGAGAUAUUCAGAUUGUAAAUUCAUUCAUGAUGCCGUGCUAUAUAUUUUCUGCUCCAUAAGAAGGCCAGAUGAGGUGGCAAAAGUGAUGCGUGCGCGAGAAAUAGAUUGCACAAAACCUUGCUUGUAUUUCUCGCUUCUCAUGUUAGCUAGCAAGAAUUAAUAGAGAUCAUCAUGAACAAGAGUUCAUGGUGCGCAUCAUCAAGUUCUUGCAAGUUAACAUGGAGUAGCUGACACGAGUAGCUCUUCGAGGAACAUGGAGCAGUGGCCACUCCAACCAGCCAUGCUGCUGGGUUGCUAUGGCUGUCGGACUAGGAGGCAUCAGGAGUUUUCAUGUCACGAAACGACUGUGUCGAACUGGCAACGGCAUCACGAAGAGCUUUCUCCAUGGCGAACCGAAGCAUGCAAUGGCACCAUGUAGUCGCAGUAACAUUCCACAUCUGUUCCAUCUCGACAAUGCUAAUGCCAAUACGAUCCUUAAAGCGACAACUCUGGUGAGAUUUGCUGACAUAGCAAUGUGGAUACAUGCAGCACCGCACAGCAAUUGGUGGCAUUUGAUCCUCCCUUUGUGUUAACUGUUUGUUGUUUUCCAAGCUAUUCUGUUCUAAGACUUGCAAUUUAUCAUCGGAAUGCAUGAUUCCCAUUGAGUGGUAGCAAGGAUACAGUUUCACUUGCUGCUUGAACUGAUGAACAAUUGAAGUGCCCAAACUGAUCAGUGAUCAGACUUAUGCGGCUCCCCUUGCAUCACGGCAGCACUAUUUUGGUGGUGGCCUGAUGUACUGAACAUGACUAGCUGCAAGUGCUGAAUCAAUAAUUAUUGCAUGGAAUCAGAUAGUACAUUUGGUUGUCGACAUAUAUGAUAUACAAGCUCUCCCAAUCCAGCCCAUAUAUAAAAGAGAUAACAAGAGGGUGAGUAGUAGCUAAAGCUGAGAGACACAGGAGAAUGAACCACAGGGAAUUCAGGUUUUUGAUGGAUGCCAAACUCGAAAUUCAGCUUAUUUGCUGCGUGGCUAUGGUAGGCUUGGGAGUUUGACUAUCUCCGUCGGAUGGCUAUACUGCAUCUUGAGAUCUCUCAGUGGAAUAACUACAGUACAGGCCUAUUGUUCUUUUGCUCGAUGAAAGAUCAGAGGAAGUAACCAUGAGAGAAAUGAGUUGCUAGAACAAUUUUUUUUCGUUUGGCAUAGUGGAUGAAAGGUAAAUUCAAUGGCUAUUCACAAUGGGUUUGCCUGGUAGGCCUGGGAGGUGCCGGUAUCUAUGAUGCUUCAAUUUCUUCCAAUGUUUCAGUACUCAGCGGAUGACUACUAUUUUGGUUUUGAUGGUAUGAUGUAAUCAGUUUCUAAACAAUACAUUAUGCUGCACUUCUCUAGAUGGAAGGUGAACUUGCUAGGUUGCAUUUUGACUAACAACCUGAUCAACAAAGAGGGGGAAAAAACAGUUCACUGCCCUUCACUUGUACUGGCAGUGUUAAAUGACUGCCUUAUGUCAGGUAUCACAUAAUAUGUAUCCCUUAUAGUCUAUGUA
This is a non-coding RNA of Oryza sativa Japonica Group (Japanese rice), 3884 nucleotides long. Lineage: Eukaryota; Viridiplantae; Streptophyta; Magnoliopsida; Poales; Poaceae. The record is from RefSeq and is a predicted model, not a curated record.